Molecule: ribosomal RNA, 468 nt
Filed under: uncultured bacterium
Lineage: Bacteria
Description: partial 16S ribosomal RNA
Rfam family: Bacterial small subunit ribosomal RNA
Source: RNAcentral
GACGAACGCUGGCGGCGUGCUUAACACAUGCAAGUCGAACGGAAAGGCCCGGCUUUUGUGGGGUGCUCGAGUGGCGAAAGGGUGAGUAACACGUGAGGAACCUGCCUUUGACUUUGGGAUAACUUCAGGAAACUGGGGCUAAUACUGGAUAGGAGCUCCUGCUGCAUGGAGGGGGUUGGAAAGUUUCGGCGGUUGGGGAUGGACUCGCGGCUUAUCAGCUUGUUGGUGGGGUCGUGGCUUACCAAGGCUUUGACGGGUAGCCGGCCUGAGACGGUGACCGGCCACAUUGGCACUGCAAUACGGCCCAGCCUCCUACGGGAGGCAGCACUGGGGCAUAUUGCACAAUGGUCGGAAGCCUGAUGCAGCCCCGCCGCGUGCGGGAUGACGGCCUUCGGGUUGUAAACCGCUUUCGCCUGUGACGAAGCGUGAGUGACGGUAAUGGGUAAAGAAGCACCGGCUAACUACGUG